AUAAGGCUCCGUUGGUCGAGAGGGAAACAGCCCAGAUCGCCGGUUAAGGCCCCUAAGGGUGUACUAAGUGGAAAAGGAUGUGGGAUCGCGAAGACAGCCAGGAGGUUGGCUUAGAAGCAGCCAUCCUUGAAAGAGUGCGUAAUAGCUCACUGGUCGAGUGGUUCUGCGCCGACAAUGUAGUGGGGCUCAAGUACACCGCCGAAGCCGCGGCAGUCAACUUUUUUGUUGGUUGGGGUAGGGGAGCGUCGUGCAUGUGGUGAAGCAUUUGGGGC
Molecule: ribosomal RNA, 272 nt
Filed under: Corynebacterium pseudotuberculosis
Lineage: Bacteria; Bacillati; Actinomycetota; Actinomycetes; Mycobacteriales; Corynebacteriaceae
Description: partial 23S ribosomal RNA
Rfam family: Bacterial large subunit ribosomal RNA
Source: RNAcentral